RNAcentral lists this unclassified non-coding RNA (268 nucleotides) under Hevea brasiliensis (rubber tree). Lineage: Eukaryota; Viridiplantae; Streptophyta; Magnoliopsida; Malpighiales; Euphorbiaceae. The record is from RNAcentral.
CCCUUUAGAAAAUUUGGACCCCAAAUACAUUGAACUACAAGAAGACUUAGUUCCAUGGCUUUCAGCAAUAAUCUCCAUACCCUCCCUGUCCUUGCAUGCUGAAGCCUUGGAAUAUCUGAGAUGGACCCUUCUCGGUCCAUUUUCAGGAAGAUUGGUUGCGAGUGCAUCAGGAUCUAAUCCAACUUCUGAUUCUUCCCGCAUAUCAAUUUCUGCUCUUAGCUCUGCGCAAUCCAAGGCAUCAUCACACAGAAUUUGCAGAAUCAUCAGC